UACGUAGGGUGCGAGCGUUAAUCGGAAUUACUGGGCGUAAAGCGUGCGCAGGCGGUUUUGUAAGUCAGAUGUGAAAUCCCCGGGCUCAACCUGGGAACUGCAUUUGAGACUGCAAAGCUAGAGUGUGGCAGAGGGGGGUAGAAUUCCAGGUGUAGCGGUGAAAUGCGUAGAGAUCUGGAGGAAUACCGAUGGCGAAGGCAGCCCCCUGGCCUGAUACUGACACUGAGGUGCGAAAGCAUGGGGAGCAAACAGGAUUAGAAACCCGUGUAGUCCCUGGACUGCCAAGGGCACACAGGGGA
Molecule: ribosomal RNA, 299 nt
Filed under: uncultured bacterium
Lineage: Bacteria
Description: partial 16S ribosomal RNA
Rfam family: Bacterial small subunit ribosomal RNA
Source: RNAcentral